This 497-nucleotide ribosomal RNA is filed under the name uncultured bacterium. RNAcentral's name for it is "partial 16S ribosomal RNA". It matches the Rfam family "Bacterial small subunit ribosomal RNA", at positions 28 to 507 of the family's 1533-position model. The record is from RNAcentral.
GAUGAACGCUGGCGGCGUGCCUAAUACAUGCAAGUCGAGCGAACGGACGAGAAGCUUGCUUCUCUGAUGUUAGCGGCGGACGGGUGGGUAACACGUGGAUAACCUACCUAUAAGACUGGGAUAACUUCGGGAAACCGGAGCUAAUACCGGAUAAUAUUUUGAACCGCAUGGUUCAAAAGCGAAAGACGGUCUUGCUGUCACUUAUAGAUGGAUCCGCGCUGCAUUAGCUAGUUGGUAAGGUAACGGCUUACCAAGGCAACGAUGCAUAGCCGACCUGAGAGGGUGAUCGGCCACACUGGAACUGAGACACGGUCCAGACUCCUACGGGAGGCAGCAGUAGGGAAUCUUCCGCAAUGGGCGAAAGCCUGACGGAGCAACGCCGCGUGAGUGAUGAAGGUCUUCGGAUCGUAAAACUCUGUUAUUAGGGAAGAACAUAUGUGUAAGUAACUGUGCACAUCUUGACGGUACCUAAUCAGAAAGCCACGGCUAACUACGUG